AACGCUAGCUACAGGCUUAACACAUGCAAGUCGAGGGGCAGCAUAAAAGUAGCAAUACUUUGGUGGCGACCGGCGCACGGGUGAGUAACGCGUAUGCAACCUACCUAUCAGAGGGGAAUAACCCGGCGAAAGUCGGACUAAUACCGCAUAAAACAGGGGCACCGCAUGGUGAUAUUUGUUAAAGAAAUUCGCUGAUAGAUGGGCAUGCGUUCCAUUAGGUAGUUGGUGAGGUAACGGCUCACCAAGCCGACGAUGGAUAGGGGAACUGAGAGGUUGGUCCCCCACACUGGUACUGAGACACGGACCAGACUCCUACGGGAGGCAGCAGUGAGGAAUAUUGGUCAAUGGGCGGGAGCCUGAACCAGCCAAGUCGCGUGAAGGAAGAAGGAUCUAUGGUUCGUAAACUUCUUUUGCAGGGGAAUAAAGUGCAGGACGUGUCCUGUUUUGUAUGUACCCUGAGAAUAAGGAUCGGCUAACUCCGUGCCAGCAGCCGCGGUAAUACGGAGGAUCCGAGCGUUAUCCGGAUUUAUUGGGUUUAAAGGGUGCGUAGGUGGUUUGAUAAGUCAGCGGUGAAAGUUUGCAGCUUAACUGUAAAAAUGCCGUUGAAACUGUCGGACUUGAGUGUAAAUGAGGCAGGCGGAAUGCGUGGUGUAGCGGUGAAAUGCAUAGAUAUCACGAAGAACUCCGAUUG
This 691-nucleotide ribosomal RNA is filed under the name uncultured bacterium. Its description in RNAcentral is "bacterial SSU rRNA". It matches the Rfam family "Bacterial small subunit ribosomal RNA", at positions 32 to 715 of the family's 1533-position model. The record is from RNAcentral.